RNAcentral lists this ribosomal RNA (442 nucleotides) under uncultured bacterium. RNAcentral describes it as "partial 16S ribosomal RNA". It matches the Rfam family "Bacterial small subunit ribosomal RNA", at positions 338 to 795 of the family's 1533-position model. The record is from RNAcentral.
CCUACGGGAGGCAGCAGUAGGGAAUCUUUCACAAUGGGCGAAAGCCUGAUGGAGCAACGCCGCGUGCAGGAUGAAGGCCUUCGGGUUGUAAACUGCUUUUAUAAGCGAGAAAUAUGAUGGUAACUUAUGAAUCAGGAUCGGCUAACUACGUGCCAGCAGCCGCGGUCAUACGUAGGAUCCGAGCAUUAUCCGGAGUGACUGGGUGUAAAGAGUUGCGUAGGUGGCAUAAUAAGUAGCUAGUGAAAUCUGGUGGCUCAACCAUUCAGACUAUUAGCUAAACUGUUAAGCUCGAGACCGUUAGGGGUAACUGGAAUUUCUAGUGUAGGAGUGAAAUCCGUAGAUAUUAGAAGGAACACCAAUAGCGUAGGCAGGUUGCUGGGACGGGUCUGACACUAAGGCACGAAAGCGUAGGGAGCAAACGGGAUUAGAUACCCGGGUAGUC